GUCCACGCCCUAAACGAUGAUUACUCGAUGUGUGCAAUACACCGUACGCGUCUGAGCGAAAGCAUUAAGUAAUCCACCUGGGGAGUACGGUCGCAAGCUGAAACUCAAAGGAAUUGACGGGGGGCCCGCACAAGCGGAGGAGCAUGUGGUUUAAUUCGAUGAUACGCGAGGAACCUUACCAGGGCUUGAAAGUUAAGGAGUGAUGUAGAAAUAUGUCAGUCAGCAAUGACCUAAAACUAGGUGCUGCAUGGCUGUCGU
RNAcentral lists this ribosomal RNA (258 nucleotides) under uncultured bacterium. Its description in RNAcentral is "partial 16S ribosomal RNA". It matches the Rfam family "Bacterial small subunit ribosomal RNA", at positions 793 to 1055 of the family's 1533-position model. The record is from RNAcentral.